CCGGCUACGGAUGGUCAUGCGUCGCAUUAGCUAGUUGGCGGGGUAACGGCCCACCAAGGCGACGAUGCGUAGGGGUUCUGAGAGGAAGGUCCCCCACACUGGUACUGAGACACGGACCAGACUCCUACGGGAGGCAGCAGUGAGGAAUAUUGGUCAAUGGCCGCAGGGCUGAACCAGCCAAGUCGCGUGAGGGAUGACGGUCCUAUGGAUUGUAAACCUCUUUUGUCAGGGAGCAAAGGGCGCCACGUGUGGCGCUUUGCGAGUACCUGAAGAAAAAGCAUCGGCUAACUCCGUGCCAGCAGCCGCGGUAAUACGGAGGAUGCGAGCGUUAUCCGGAUUUAUUGGGUUUAAAGGGUGCGCAGGCGGAAUGUCAAGUCAGCGGUAAAAUUUCGGGGCUCAACCCCGUCGUGCCGUUGAAACUGGCGUUCUUGAGUGAGCGAGAAGUAUGCGGAAUGCGUGGUGUAGCGGUGAAAUGCAUAGAUAUCACGCAGAACUCCGAUUGCGAAGGCAGCAUACCGGCGCUCAACUGACGCUCAUGCACGAAAGCGUGGGUAUCGAACAGGAUUAGAUACCCUGGUAGUCCACGCAGUAAACGAUGAAUACUAACUGUCCGGGCAGAAUGAUGCCUGG
RNAcentral lists this ribosomal RNA (630 nucleotides) under uncultured bacterium. RNAcentral's name for it is "bacterial SSU rRNA". It matches the Rfam family "Bacterial small subunit ribosomal RNA", at positions 215 to 842 of the family's 1533-position model. The record is from RNAcentral.